Molecule: ribosomal RNA, 244 nt
Filed under: uncultured bacterium
Lineage: Bacteria
Description: partial small subunit ribosomal RNA
Rfam family: Bacterial small subunit ribosomal RNA
Source: RNAcentral
AGAAUCAACGCUGGCGGCGUGCCUAACACAUGCAAGUCGAACGAGAAAGUGGAGCAAUCCAUGAGUACAGUGGCGUACGGGUGAGUAACACGUGACUAACCUACCCUCGAGUGGGGAAUAACCUCGGGAAACCGGGGCUAACACCGCAUAACACCUACGGGUCAAAGGAGCAAUUCGCUUAAGGAGGGGUCGCGGCAGAUUAGUUAGUUGGCGGGGUAAUGGCCCACCAAGACGGUGAUCUGUA